RNAcentral lists this long non-coding RNA (342 nucleotides) under Lathyrus oleraceus (garden pea). Its description in RNAcentral is "Pisum sativum (pea) long non-coding RNA (PSAT_LNC037525)". The record is from RNAcentral. Lineage: Eukaryota; Viridiplantae; Streptophyta; Magnoliopsida; Fabales; Fabaceae.
ACCAAUAGAAUACAUAUAAGUUUUAUUGAAGUAGUAAGUUGCCAUAGUUCUUCUUUCACACUGAUCAUAUAUUUAAAGAAGCAAACACUUAAUCUAUCUAUUAAUGAUUAUGAACUAUUAUACUUAAUAAAAUGGUUUCUUAUGUCCCACGCAGGCGAAUAUGCGGCAGUUAACUGCUUCCUAUAUAUAAAAAUUGUUAUGCACUGAUCACAUGUAUUAUUCUCACCAUAAUAUACAUGAUCACAUUUCUCAAAUCUUACUAACUUCAGCAUAUGAAUGAUAAUUUUGCAGGUCCGUCCAUCUUUAUCGUGCAAGAAGCCACCUCUCCGGUCAAUUAUACAU